Molecule: long non-coding RNA, 4660 nt
Organism: Neopelma chrysocephalum (saffron-crested tyrant-manakin)
Lineage: Eukaryota; Metazoa; Chordata; Aves; Passeriformes; Pipridae
Exons: 2
Source: RefSeq, a predicted model, not a curated record
CCGGCGGGGGAAGCGCCGGCAGCGGGCCGGGAUUUUCCCUGUCUGGAGAGGGGGGAUUUGCUCCCAACUUCGUGGGAGCCGGUCGGCUCCAGCCGGAUUCCCCCUGGAAGAUCCCGCGAGCCCGGGAUGGGAAUCUCCGCUCCUGAUUGUCCAAACGCAAUUCUUGUGCGAUGGAGCCGUACGAACCAAGAAUUGUGUCUGGACAUCUGUAGCAGAGGUUUCACCUCCUCCGGCGGGGCUCCAGGACGGUGCUUGGGGCGCAGGACGGAGGACGGACCUUCCCCGGGCCCGGCGCACGGCAGGUAACCGCUCCCGACUGCGGCCCGGCGGGACGGAGCCAGGAUUUCGGGGAAACUGAGGAAACACCGGCGGCGGCUCCCCUAGGCUCGGCGCGGCCGGGGGGCUCGGUCCUAAUGCGUCAAACACCGGCCGGGUCCCCACCAGGACGGGCAGCCCCGGGCAGGCUCCGGGCAGGACGGAGGGGCCGAGCCGCGGGCACCGGCGCUUGCCCGUGGGCGGCGGGGCCGCAGCCCGGGCGCGGCGAGCGGGCGACCCGGCCCUGCGGCUUCAUCCUGGUUUAUCCUGCUGGUGUUUAUUUAUUUAUCUAUUUUAACACUGCGGUUUAAUUUCAUUCCGUCGUGAGCCCGGCCCUGGGGCGCGCCGGGGACCGCUCUGCACCGGGACACCCUCCUCGUCCUCCUGCCGCAGCCCCCGCCGGCCCCGGGCACACGGAGGCCGCUCCGAGUCUCCGCCGAGCCGGGAACCGUCCCCGCCGCUCGGGCACCGGGCGGGCUCGGCGGGGAGCGGCCCCGGGCCGCGGGCACGGCCCUUGCUGCCCCGGUGAGCCCCUCGGAGCGGAGCAGCCCCCGCGGAACGGCGGCCGGAGGAAGGCACGUUCUAACAGAGAGGCUUUAUGAAUCCACCAGCCAAGCGGCUCGGCCGGGGCUGCCAAGGAAACCCAGGAGGAGGAGGGAAGCAUUACAAGAUCCGAGCAGAAUUUCACCAAGAGCCUAUCUAGGACAAAGCUGGAGGCAGAGAAUGUUUUAAAAGGCUUUUAUUUCAGAAACUUUUUGUUGUUGUUGUUUUUACAGGAUUUUGCUGUACCCCUCUUCUCCCACCCCCCUGGCUUCCCUCAUCUUCCCAUUUCUAGCUUUUUUUAGCAGUGAUUGGCAGCUUUUACUACAGCAGGAGCUAAGCCACCUGGGUCUACCUGCACUAUUGAGGGGAAUAACAGCUCCCGGGGAAGGAACCCAUCCAAUCUGAGCAAACAGCUGGGGGGGAUGAGAACAGACAAGCCCAGCCUAAGGCACAGAAGCAGCGUAGAGGCAGGGCAGGCAGCAGCGCUGAAGACAAACCUGCCUUUUCCCAUCGGGUUUCAGUCCAUUUCAAGCUGCACACCACACAGGUUCCUUGUUUUUUCAGCCAGCUCCUACCAUCAUCUGGAAUCCCCCUCCACUGCCCUGGCCCAGCAAAGCUAACAGCCAAGAACUGGGGAGAGAAGAGCCUUUGGCCCGUCCGUGUCAUUUACAAACGGCAUGAGCUGGACUCAAGUCGCUGUGGCUGGAUUUGGAAAAGGCUGAAUAUCAGUUUGUCACCAGCAGUGGGUGGAAGGUGGGGUUCCUCAGAUGCAGCAGCAUCAUAGUCCGUGGGUGCUUUUAGUUACGCAGGUUGUGGAGGGGUGAACGUGAGAGAGGAGAAGUCAGCUGAGGGAAUUACUCUUCGGCACUCUCUGCAUCAGACAGCGGAAUUCCUCCGUCAGGCGCAGGGCGGGAGAAGCUCCUUGUACGCAGCACCCGGGAUGCUGGGCCAGGCUGCCCAAGCAGGGGCUGGUGCACUGGCUGCUCCCUCCUCCCACCUCCUCCUCGCAUGUCCUGGAGACGGAGGGCUCUCGGAGCAGCGUGUGGUGCAGAUCAGCUUCGGGAUGCACCGACUGAGUACCAGAGAGCGGGAGCUGCCACCGGGGACCACCGUGCGCUGCCGGAGCCAAGCCCAAAUGCAGGUGAGCAGGGUGGGGGGGCAGGAACAACCAUCCCGGUCAGAUGCUCCUGGAAGCUCAAGCAGCACGUUUCAGACCUGUGGCACCAGUGCUAUCCUCUGACCCCGUCCCUCCGCUCUCGCCGUGGCCUCUGGGCUGGCAGGGGCCAGUCCAUCUAUCCAAGGAAACUUCUGGAAAGCCAACAGCAUCCGUGCCCUAGCAGAGCCAUGCACACCCCCUUCUACAGCGCUCACAGGACUUCCUCAGGGCACAUAGUAAGAAGCCUCUCCCACUGGUGGAAAGGGUUAAAAGCCUGACUUUCCCAGGUCUUGGCACUUCAACUGUGCAUCUCCAGCCCCAGCCUUUCCCUGGCCAGGCUGCAGCUCCCACCUGCACAGAACGCAGCGCAGCCCGAUCAAUGCUGUCCAUCACGGUGACAGAAAGAUCAUUUGCUGCCCUGAUCACUCCGUGCUGUCUCAGGCUGGGUGAGGGUUUGUUUCCCCUCCAACCAAAUCAUUACAAAUUGAUGUUGUUCGUGGGCCAGUACUUCACCCUCUGCCUCAGCUCCAGUAUGAGGGAUCAGAAAAACAGAACUUUUCAAAAAAGCCUAUUUCUCUCCUGCGUCCCAUAAAUAAAUACCACAAGUGGAAGUCACUACAGAGGGCUCUGAAGCUGUCAUGUUUGCUACCUCACAGAAAAGCUAGGCAAGCCACUUUUUGUUUCCUUGCACUUCAUGCCUCACCCUUCCCGUGGCUGGUGCACAGACUAUCUAAGUAUUGUAUUAAAAGAAUCCUGCUUCCCAGCACCAAGGCAGAGGCACCCCAGCCUUGCCCCAAAACAGGCACAACUCCCCCAGAACGCCUCACUGUCUCCAAAGACACGUCAUCCUACUUAGGGUUCAGCACCCCUUUUCCUCCCAUCACGGAAAAAUAAAGUCCCACAUCCUGCAGGUGCUCUCUGCUCGUUAGGGUACCUGAAAGCGCAGUCAGGAGAGGUGAAAUGAGGACCAAAAGAUGGAUGUCGUUGUGGUGGACAGCAGGCCGCAGGCUGCAGGGCUUUAUUUGGAUGUGUAGUAACAAGAGAACAUGGUGGAAAGAUGCAGAGGUCAGGCACAGGCAGUUCAAGAGAGGUUUGGGUGGGUUAAGGUUUUUGUUUGGGGUUUUUGCCCAGGGACUUGGAUUUACAUCCUCUUGUCUUUUCAGGAGUUCACCCGCCGUGCAAUGUCGAGAUGAAAACCACAUUAUCCUGGUCCUGGAGUUUAUAAUCCAGCUCACCCUGCAGGCCAAGGAAAAAAAAUGGUUUAAAUGUCAUUUUCAAAUACAAGCUGCAAAGAGAAAACAGCUCAUAAAAAGACAGUGAGUGUUAGGGAGACCAGACGGGGACAGACUGAUGUUUUCAUCACAGGAAAAGUGAAGGUGAGGGAUCAGCCACGGCGCUGAUGCUGAUCAGCCCACAGCGCCUUCUGGACCAGGGCUUUGACAGAACAGGUGGUUGCCUGAGGCAGGAAAAUAGCAAGGGGCUGUUUGUUGUCUGAGCAUAACAGUGGGCUGAGAAGGGAAGACAUUUACCAGGUGCCUGUUUGGGUAGAAAUCUCCCUGUGGCCUUCACCUGCCAGGCACCCCCUGACUCCAGGGAAGGUGGUUCUGCCUGGGGCCUGGAGCUGCCAGUACCCACCACAGUCACCCCACACAUGGGGGGACCCACCAGCAGUCAGAGGUGCAAAGCCCAGUGCCAGAGGCCAGGGAAAAAAAGGGUAAUCUCUCUUCAGACCUUGGCUGGCUGAUGAGACUCAGCAGGUUAGAGAGAGGCUCCAGGCUCCUGAACAGCCACAGCACAGGAGAGAGAUCCCAGCCUGCCCCUUCCCCCUCAAAUACAAGACGCUUUACUUGGAGCAAGAAUCAGAAACAGCUUCUCUGAGAGCAACCAAAGAACAGAGAGAGCAAUAUUUUCAACAAAGAAAGUCAAAUUUAAGGAGUACAGACCAUUAGUUCCCAGUCUGCGUCAUUGAUAAGCACCAAAAUUCCUGGCCUCCUGCAGAACAGAGAGAAAUAAUUAGGAUACAGGUCUGCUAAAAAGCUCCACAAACAGUUAAGAACAAGGGAUGUCACAGCACAGAUCACAAGCUGACUUGCUUAUAAAGCCAAAAAGGGAUCCUAGCAUGGAGGUGGAACAGGUACAGUCUGUGCCCUUUCUACAUCAAAUAAAGGGGAGGUAGGAGCACUCCCAAAGCUCAUUUGAAUCAAAACGCACCAUUCCCGAGGAUGCUCCAGGAUGAUACAUUUCCGUACGAUGCAGAAGAGCCAGGUAAUUAAAACCCACGCACGACAGUCGAGCGCAGAGAGCUCGAUGUGAAGGUAGGGAAAGCUAUUCCAGUGCCCCUACCACAGGCACUAAACACCUGGGAUCCACUCCAAGCCCCUGAUUCCGAGCAAAGGGAUUCCCCUUCUUUGAUCUUCGGUGUCCUGCAAUUGUCUCUCCUGUUACCAGGGGACCUGGCACACGCUUCAGCUCACAAAGAUCCGUGACGAAUGUUAAACACCCCCAGCGCCACCCCGCAGUCAGGGAUGGCUUGCACAGCUCACUCUGCUCCAUUUCUCUUGCCUUCUUUUUUUUUUUUCCUUGCCCCCCCCCAUCCUCCACGAGGCUGGCCCCAUUUUGACAAUAAAAAUACAUUUCCCAGAAGAA